UGAACAUAAGGUCAUUCCUCAGCUGGCGCACAGAUGAGAACUGACUUCUGAGAAGCUACAAGGAUUGUUUGGCAAGAGGCCUGGAAUGACUCACGGCACAUGCAGAUGACACAAUAUUGCAAAGAGUUCAGGAGAACAUUCUUUCCAUUUCUGUGCAGAAUGCAAUGACUGCAACCACAGGGCUCUGGAAGGUCUUCGGAGGUGGAGGUGCUGGCCAUGCCUGCCGGAGUUCAUCUUUGUAGAAUGCAGCAGCACAGUGGAGGGAAGGUGGCUACUUCACAAAAAUCUGUGGGCAGCAACUUAAACGGUGAAACCACAGACUAAGACAUAUCUGUGAACCCCAGUACGGCAAUGAGAUGAAGCAAGAUUUGUCCACGUGCAGUGGAUAUGUCUACCAUUACUAAGCCAAAGAGGACACAGACAGAGGAAUCCCGCUGGUUCCCCUCUGCCCAUCCCUAUUAACCCCUGUGCUCAGACUCCGAGGGCAGAGAGCAGGUGAGAAGAGCAGAGUGGAGCUGGAGGGCAAGUGGAGAAUGUCCUGCACAGCUGGAAGAUACGUAAAACCAGACCUUUGAAAAAGAAAAUCAAACAGAGCGUUUGUUCAAUGGGAACCUGACAUCUGCCCCGUGGCUUCCUCAUCUGUGUAUAAAGAUUGACUGACCAUACCCUCUCCUUUGCUGCUUAUUUGUGGCUCCCUUGUAUCUGCAAGUGAAGAGAGGUACGAUAACUUCUAGCUGGAGAGACCUCAGCAGAAGAAUACUGUGAAAGUUCUGGGAAAGCUUUUGCUUUCUUGAUCAAAGCUACAGAGAAGGUACUGAUGUCUUUCCCUCUUAUUGCUGCUUUUAACAAGUAUACAAUGCCCAAAGUGGUGAUAACUAUCUUAUAACAAAGUGACAACAAGGAUAGAAGGUGCUGGUCCUGAAAUCAUCAAGCCAUUGAUCCAAUGCCAAUAGUGCCUACCUUCAGAUAUUUUAAGUGAGAAAAACAACUACUGAUUGUUUUCUAAGUCUUUGUAAAUUGAGAGCUUGGUGUUUGAUCAGACAUGGGCUGAGUGGAGUGGGUUUGACAUCUCAACUGCUGUCGGGAGUAGCUGGGUGGAAGAUGCCAUUUACAGACACAGGAAACUAUGGAACUGAAGCAGAUUUGGGGACAAAACUCAAAAUUUAGACUCAAUAGUUUAAAUUAAAUUAAGGUAUCCAUGAGACAGUUAUGAGGAAAUAUAGAAUGGGAAGUUGUAUUUAUGUGUCUAAAAGAAAGACCCAACCUAGAAAUAAAAAAUUUAGAAAUAUAUAAGAUGACGAUUCAAGUCUUAGGAGUAAGAUCAGAUCUUCUGUUUUAUUUAAAGAAGACUAUCAAGGACAGUCUGAGAACUCCAACAUUUAGAGCUUAGUCAGAAGGAGGGAAGCCCUCAAAGGCAGAGCUGGCAAAGAACCAGGUGGAGGUCUAGAGAAGAGUGCAUUUUGAGAAAGGAACAGGUAUCAGGUUUUGGUGCUAUGGAGAAGUAAAGUAAGAUGUUGGUCACUGAUGAUGUUUAGGAGGAAAAACUAGUUCUUGGUGGGUGAUCUGAUAUUUCAAGAAAGUGGUAUGCCUGUUAUAAAAGGAUGUCAUACCCAGCAUAGCUUUUCUCUGUGAGAACAGUGCCCAAACUUUAUUUGUUACUGGCACAAUUUAAAUAUUAACUAAGAAUAAACGCAAGGACUAUUUCUUUCUCGCUUCUUGUUUCAUCUGUAAAUGUUGUUGUUUUUAAGAUCUGUUGGAACAUCUAUUAAUGAAAAAGUCACAAGAAAGAAAAUAUGUAAAGAAAAGAGAAAGAGAAAAAGGAGUAAAAGUCAAUUUCUUAUUUCCAGAAUGUCAUAAUUAGAUUAAAAUAAUGGUCCUAAAUAUUGAGUUAGAAAUGAAAAAUUUUAUUUAAAAAUUCAGAUGGUUUCUCUAUUCUUUGUCAUUAGACUUACUGGCCAAAAACUGAAAAAUGUGCUGAAAGUCGGUUAAGGAACAAAGUGUCUGAGAGAAUGUCAUUGAGAUGACUGAACCAUAGAGACGACGAUUUGAAAGUUAAUCUGCCUCUUAUUUAAGAAUUACUUGGAGUGAGUUACUUAAUCUGAGUCUUGAAGCUCCCAUUUGUAUGAUGCAGACAAGAAUGACCACCUUGAAGACCAUCUGUGAAGAUGAACUAAGAAAUGAGGGUGUUGAACUAAUCUCUAAGACCCUCCCCAAAGUGCCUUACUUGAGCCUAUGGCUUCAGUACAGGCUCUCCUGUCACUCAGGAAGCACUUCAUGAUUUCCUCUGCAUUGUUUUGAAUUUGGUUUUGGUUUUUUUUUUCAUUUUCAUGGCAAGUAAGGCCUUGAUUACUUCAGAUGGCCGGGUGAACUGAAAUUUGGAAGGACUGAACAAAAUAUUUCCUCUAAAGGAAUACACUUCCAGGAUGCAGGCAUCUCUCCCCUAUAAUGGGUUAGGACUUAAAGUUCAGCGUCUUCUGCUGACAUCAGUUCUAAUAUUCACUGUCAGCUGCUGCCUUUGUCAGCAUUACAUAAGAGUCAGCAGUGAUAUUAUUCUGUUGUUGACUGGGUGCUAUUUCUGCAUGUGCAUUGCCAAACCACACUUAGGUUUAGUUAUGGUUAUAUUUAACCUUAUUCUUCUCAGUAAACCUUUUAAGGCAUUACAAAAAGGAAUCCUUUCUCUCAGUGAGAUAGAUUUUUAUAACUGCUGGAAACUUUAGGUUUCCUUCAGGAUUCAAUAAGAAGAUGGUAUGUUGAUAACUCUAACCCUGGAUCAGCAUUUUCAAGACAUGGCUCCCAUUCCUCUUGGCACAUCUUGAACCAAUAGAAGAAACAUCUGAGGUCACAUGUAUUUUAGGGGAUUUAUCAAGAUACUAUCUCUAUAAUUCCAGAAGCAAGAAACACUUAAAUACACAGAAAUAAUCAAUACACAGAAAAUAAUCACUAGAUUCUGCCCUUUAUGUACUUAUAUUCCUUAGAAUAGAUAAGACCAGUAAAUGGCUUCAUAUCAACAAUAUAGCAAAUAACAUUUGAUCUGCAAGAGAAUUCAGGGAAGGAAGAGAUUAUUUCCAGUAGAAAAUAUUGCAGCUACAACACUAAAUCUAGACUCCUUGGAAUCUAAACUACAUUACAGUCUUUUCUCAAUCAUUCCUUACUUCGUUAUUUCCCUGUGUACUGGUAUAUAUUCCCCUGAUACCCUCUCUAUUCCCAAAUAACCAUAUGGUUUUGCACCUAUAAGUCUUUGCCCAUGCUCUUCCCUUCUCCAGAGAUACCCUUCUCCACCUGGUAAAAGCUAAUCAUUCUUUAAAGGCUGGUUAUUUUGUUGCCUCCCUGUGGUGUAUUUACUAACGCUUCCCUUAAUCAUCCUGACCUAUGGGGACCCUGAGCACCCUAUCAAGAAAUGUUCAUGAUGAACCAUUUUGCAUGAUGAGUGACAGAGUUAUUAUUUUAAUAUGUGCGUCUCUCCCCUCAAAAGUGAGAGCUCUUAUAAGGAAAGGACUUUGACCUAUUUAUUAUUGUAUUCCCAACAAUUGUCAAAACUCCUGCAACACAAUAAAUGCACAUAGUAAAUAUGAGUGGAAUAAGCUAGCAUAUGGCAUUUAUGUUAGGCCUUGAAGGAUUGCAUAUUGGCCAGACCAAGAAGAGUGAUUUCCGGUUACCCUACCCUCUCCUAGGGAAAUGACUGUUAUACCCACAGCCUUUCUCUAAAGCGUUUCAUACAUACCAAUCACCAUGUGAUUUUCUACCCUGGCCAUGGCUUACUGGAUCAAGGAUGGAGACUGAGCCCAAAGGCCUUCAUUUACAAAAGCCUCACAGGUGGUCAAGCAUAUUGCUCUGUCCUUUACUGAUUGGUGUACCAAUCAGAUCCUCUCAAGGAGUUCAAGCUCCAAACGCAAAGGGACAGCGUCAGCAUGAUCUUUAGGAGAGGCAGAGACAGAGUUGCUGAUUCAUCAUGUGAUGAAGCAGAAGUGUUGAAGCCACAGAUUCUUGCUGCUGAGUAGUCAGUUACUCUGGUUGCUGGAUAUAUGUGUGUCCAGAACCAUAUUCAAGGACCCAUAUUCCUGACUAAACUGGCUAAGAUAACACUGAGUCAUUUUUUCUGUUUCAUGCUACCUAUAAAAAACCUAAACAGGUAGAGAAGAGAAAGUAUGAGUAAUAAUAAAACUUAUUUUUAUUGCUGUUAUGGACUGAAUAUUUGUGUCCUCUCCAUAUUAAAAGGUUGAAGCCCUAACUCCCCGUAUGGCUGUGUUUGGAGAUGCAGCCCCUAAGGAAGUAAUGAAGGUUGAAUGUGUCAUAAGAUGGGGCCCCGAUCUGAUAGAAUUGUCCUUAUAAGAAGAGACACCAGAGAGCUCUCUCUCUUGCUUUGCGUACAUGCACCGAGGAAAGACCACUUGAGGACAUAGUGAGAAGGUGGCCAUCUGCGAGACAGGAAGAGAACCCUCACUAGAAACCAAACCCUGCCAGACUUUGGUCUGGGACUUCCAGCCUCCAGAACUGAGACAAUGAAUUUCUGUUGUUUAAGCCACCCAGUCUGUGGUAUUUUGUUAUGACAGUUUGAGCAGAUUAAUAGAGAUUUUUGGUUCUGUGAAUUGGGGUGCUUCUGUAACAAAUGCUUAAAAACACAGACAUGGCUUUGGAAUAGGGUGACGUGUAGAGGCUGGAGAAUUUUGAAAUGUGUGGUAGCAAAAGCCUAGAUUGCCCUGAAGGGACUGUUGGUAGAAAUAUGGAUGUUAAAGCCUAUUCUGGUGAGAGCUCAGAAAGAAAAGAGGAGAACUAUAGAGCCAACCUCUAUCAUCUUAGAGAAUAUAUGUAUCAUCAGGAACAGAAUGUUAGUAGAAAUGUGGACCUUAAAGACCGUUAUGGUGAGGUCUCAGAUGGAAACAAGGAAUGUGCUGUUGGAAGCCAGAGGAAAGGCAAUCUUUGGUAUAUAGUUGCAAAGAACUUGGCUGAAUUGUGUUCCAGUGUCUUUGGAAGGAGGAACUUGCGAAGGAUGAAAUUGGAUAUUUAGCUGAGGAGAUUUCCAAACAAAGUGUUGGCAGUGCACACUUCUUUCUUCUCCUUACUCUUUGUAUCAAAAUGCAAGAGGAGAGAGAUAAAUUGAAGUGAUUGUUAAGCAAAAGAGAAUCAGAACUUGAAGAUUUGGAAAAUUCUCAGCCUAUCCUUAUUGCAAAAAGAAAGAGAAAAUACGUUCUCAAGAGAACACUAAGGGUGUGGCUGAACAGCCACUUGAUAAGGAGACUAGUAUGGGUAUGAGACAUAAGUAUAAUCAGGCAUCUCAGCAAAAUCAAGGAAUAGAGAUGGGAUUUUAUCAGCAGAGACAACUCCAAUUUGGUCCAAAGGUACAGGAUGGGAGUAUAGAGCUAUCCAGCUGCAAAUAUGCGUUAUCAUUCAGGAAAAGGGAAGCAUGAACCCAAAGGUGAUUCAGGGAUCAUCAGGGCUUCCACUCCCACCACUGGCCCAGAGUGCACAGGCCCAAGGGGAAAGCCUGUCAUCACUUUGGUUUGAAAGGAUGGGGCCACUGCCAAGGUUUAAACAAGUCAGGCUGCUACCACCAGUAGCCUUGACGGUCAGGCCACCCGGAACCUUGGGGGUUGGACUUCCUACCAAAUCCUGGGGGCUAGGGCCACCUGGCAGAGCUGUGAGUUUUUACAAUCUUGCCCCGUAGAGACGCAGGCUACUGUCUAGGGCUGUGAGGUCAGGGUCUUCACCCCAGUAGGUCCAGAAGGAGGAGCAUCAAAUCAAAGAGGAUUAUUCUCAGGCCUUAAGAUCUAAUAUAAUUUGCCUUGCUAGGUUUUGGACUUGCUUGGGACCUGUCACCCCUUUCAUCCUUCCAAUUUCUCUCUUUUGGAGUGGGAAUGUCUAUCCUAUGUCUCUCCCACCAUUGUAUUUUGGAAGCACAUAAUUUAUCUGGUUUCACAGUUUCACAGCUAGAGAAGAAUUUUGCCUCAGGAUGAAUCAUACCUCAGGUCUCACUUAGACUUGAUUUAGAUGCUAUUUAGUUGAGACUUUGGACUUUAGAUUUUGGACUAGAAGGUGGAAUGAGUUAAGACUUUUGGGGCUGUUGGGAUGGAAUGAAUGUAUUUUGCAUGUGAAAGAAAAUGAAUUUGGGGAGGUCAAGGGCAGAAUGUUAUGGACUUAAUAUUUGUGGCCCUCUAAAGUUUGUAUGUUGAAGCCAUAACCCCUAUUGUGGGCAUAUUUGGAGAUGGGGCCUCUAAGCAAGUAAUUAAGGUUAAAUGAACUGAUAGAAUUAGUGUCCUUAUAAGAAGAGACCCCAGAGAACUCUCUCUCUCUCUCUGUGUAUAUGUGCACUGAGGAAAGGCCAUGUGAAGACAUAUGAGAAGGCAGCCAUCUGCAAACCAGGAAAAGAGUUCGCACCAAGAACUGAACCCUGCUAGACCUUGAUGUGGGACUUCCAGCCUCCAUAACUGUGGGAAAAUAAAUUUGUGCCAUUUAAGUCAUCCUGUCUGUUAUGGCAGCCUGAACUGACUAAGACAAUUGCCUACAAAAAUAAUGUAUAUUAAUUAUAGAAAAUUUGAAAAAUAUAAAAACACACAAAGAAGAAAAAACUUAACCAUCUAAAUAACCCCAAGAGAUAAUUGCUGUUCACAUUUUUGGUAUAUAGCUCAUACAAGCACUUAAAGGGUACAUUCGAGUUUGAGUUCCUUAUCAUCUAGCUAGUGAGAAACAAUUGAAGGUGGCAGUCAAAAGUGUGCUUCAGAAAGAGAUCUGGCUGUUCUCUGGGUAGGAUUGUAAAGUCUAGAGAUAAUUGGGACAAGUUAGAGGUUAUUUAAUCACAUUAGGCUAUGCCACAAAGGUUUUAAAUAGGAUAUUGAAAUACGAAAAAUGAGGCAUGUACAUAAGACAUUUGAGAAGCACAAAUGCUAUUGCAUGACAAUGUCCGAAUGUGAGGAUAAGGGUUAUGGAGAGAAGUCAAAUAUGAUGGACCUUUUGGGUACCAAAAAAUACAAACACUAAAAAAAAUUUAACACAUUUA
Molecule: long non-coding RNA, 6991 nt
Organism: Equus caballus (horse)
Lineage: Eukaryota; Metazoa; Chordata; Mammalia; Perissodactyla; Equidae
Source: Ensembl